This 853-nucleotide ribosomal RNA is filed under the name uncultured bacterium. RNAcentral's name for it is "bacterial SSU rRNA". It matches the Rfam family "Bacterial small subunit ribosomal RNA", at positions 13 to 856 of the family's 1533-position model. The record is from RNAcentral.
AGGAUCCUGGCUCAGAACGAACGCUGGCGGCGCGUCUUAAGCAUGCAAGUCGAACGGUAAGGGAGAGCUUGCUCUCCCCUAGAGUGGCGGACUGGUGAGUAACGCGUGGGUGACCUGCCCUGAAGAUGGGGAUAGCUAGUAGAAAUAUUAGAUAAUACCGAAUGUGCUCAUUUACAUAAAGGUAAAUGAGGAAAGGAGCUACGGCUCCGCUUCAGGAUGGACCCGCGUCCCAUUAGCUGGUUGGUGAGGUAAAGGCCCACCAAGGCAACGAUGGGUAUCCGGCCUGAGAGGGUGAACGGACACAUUGGGACUGAGAUACGGCCCAAACUCCUACGGGAGGCAGCAGCUAAGAAUCUUCCGCAAUGGACGAAAGUCUGACGGAGCGACGCCGUGUGAAUGAAGAAGGCCGAAAGGUUGUAAAAUUCUUUUGCAGAUGAAGAAUAAGAAGAAGAGGGAAUGCUUCUUUGAUGACGGUAGUCAUGCGAAUAAGCCCCGGCUAAUUACGUGCCAGCAGCCGCGGUAACACGUAAGGGGCGAGCGUUGUUCGGAAUUAUUGGGCGUAAAGGGUAUGUAGGCGGUUAGGUAAGCCUGGUGUGAAAUCUACGAGCUCAACUCGUAAACUGCAUUGGGUACUGCUUGACUUGAAUCACGGAGGGGAAACCGGAAUUCCAAGUGUAGGGGUGGAAUCUGUAGAUAUUUGGAAGAACACCGGUGGCGAAGGCGGGUUUCUGGCCGAUGAUUGACGCUGAUAUACGAAGGUGCGGGGAGCAAACAGGAUUAGAUACCCUGGUAGUCCGCACAGUAAACGAUGUACACUAGGUGCCGGGGCAAGAGCUUCGGUGCCGACGCAAAC